UUCUCAAGCAUAUCUAAGUUUUUGAAACUUUAAAUGAUUAUUUUCUAUUAGCUCUUAUUAUGAAAUCUUCAUCUGUUGCUUUAAGAGAUUAUCUACCACUGGGUAUGGUCACAGCAUGCCUGUAACCCCAGAUACUCAGGAGGCCGAGCAGGAGAAUGGCUUGAGCCCAGGAGUUGGAAACCAGCCUGGACAAUAUAGCAAGACCCCAUAUGAAAAAGAUAUUUUUUAAAAAAGAUGCUCUCAAUAAAAUUUGGAAUCUUUCUGGAAAUUACUCUAUGGCACUUUCAGUGUGAGAAUGCAGCAACAAGGUGCCAGCUAUGAAGCAAAGAGCCCUUACCAGACAAUGAAUCUACUGACAACUUGAUCUUGGACUCUUCAGCUUCCCAAACUGGUUACCAACUAUAUCACAUAAUGGUCCUAAGGAUUAAAUGAAAAAAAAUGCAGUAAGAUAAAGCUGAUUUAUCAAGGUUGGGGAAAUGCAAUAAAGAAAGAGGUUAAUAAUUCACAGAGCCAGCUGAAUAGAAUACCAGAGUUUUAUUUCUACACAAAUCAGUCUCCCAGCCAUGGUCCAGGCUUGAGGGUGGAGCCCUCACGAGAGACCUCACCAUUUUCUACCUAGUAUUUCCCUGUCUCCUGUCUAUAUCGCAGAGCAUUAAAUUGAAGCCAAGGGACUGAAAUAAGAAACUCCAGAGAACAACAAGAGGAACUGAAAUUGCAUGGUCAUUAGAAGGCAUCUUAAGAAUAACUGUGUAGCAGAGAAUGAGGACUCAUAUCAAAGUUUGAUUCUUUUAGUAUUGGAUUUUAUGUUCUGAAGGUUAGGACUGAACGUCUCCUGGAGCCAUUAUGCAGCCUACCACACUUGCUAUAUCUUCCAGAAUUUUGGAGGAAGUAAUUCAUUCUGUCAGCUUCCGGCUGGAAAAUGUUAUCAUGUGUCACCUCAAUAUGUGUCAUCUCUGGUAAUUAUUGAAAAGGCUAUUACAUUUGGUCAUUUA
This 992-nucleotide long non-coding RNA is filed under the name Homo sapiens (human). RNAcentral describes it as "HSALNT0080189". Lineage: Eukaryota; Metazoa; Chordata; Mammalia; Primates; Hominidae. The record is from RNAcentral.